AGAUUGAACGCUGGCGGCAGGCCUAACACAUGCAAGUCGAGCGAGAAAGGGUUUCGGCCUGAGUAGAGCGGCGGACGGGUGAGUAACGCGUGGGAAUUUGCCCGAUAGAGGGGGAUAACUUGGGGAAACCCAAGCUAAUACCGCAUAGACCCUGAGGGGUAAAGGUGGCCUAUCCUUGGAAGCUACCGCUAUCGGAGAAGCCCGCGUCGGAUUAGCUAGUUGGUGGGUAAAGCCUACCAAGGCGAUGAUCCGUAGCUGGUCUGAGAGGAUGACCAGCCACACUGGGACUGAGACACGGCCCAGACUCCUACGGGAGGCAGCAGUGGGGAAUAUUGGACAAUGGGGGCAACCCUGAUCCAGCCAUGCCGCGUGUGUGAAGAAGGCUUUCGGGUGUAAAGCACUUUAGUUGGGAGAAGGCGUUUGUGUGAAUAUGCAGUACGUUUGACGUUACCAAGAAUAAGCACGCUAACUCGUGCCAGCAGCCGC
This 486-nucleotide ribosomal RNA is filed under the name uncultured soil bacterium. RNAcentral describes it as "bacterial SSU rRNA". It matches the Rfam family "Bacterial small subunit ribosomal RNA", at positions 26 to 518 of the family's 1533-position model. The record is from RNAcentral.